RNAcentral lists this ribosomal RNA (213 nucleotides) under Clostridioides difficile. RNAcentral describes it as "partial 23S ribosomal RNA". It matches the Rfam family "Bacterial large subunit ribosomal RNA", at positions 1113 to 1333 of the family's 2925-position model. Lineage: Bacteria; Bacillati; Bacillota; Clostridia; Peptostreptococcales; Peptostreptococcaceae. The record is from RNAcentral.
CAGCCACUCAUUCAAAGAGUGCGUAAUAGCUCACUGGUCGAGUGAUCCUGCGCCGAAGAUUUCCGGGGCUAAAACUUACUACCGACGCUACGGCAUCAGUAAUGAUGGGUAGGGGAGCUUCCCAUACGGGCUGAAGCAUGACCGUAAGGACAUGUGGACAGUAUGGGAGUGAGAAUGUUGGCAUGAGUAGCGAGAUGUGGGUGAGAAUCCCAC